RNAcentral lists this long non-coding RNA (306 nucleotides) under Lathyrus oleraceus (garden pea). Its description in RNAcentral is "Pisum sativum (pea) long non-coding RNA (PSAT_LNC027940)". Lineage: Eukaryota; Viridiplantae; Streptophyta; Magnoliopsida; Fabales; Fabaceae. The record is from RNAcentral.
UUAUUUUAAAAAUUGUGAAUUUUAUUUGAUUGAAAUGGAUUAAGUCAUCUAAAAACAAUAUUAUAGGCAUUUUAAUUUAUUUAAAUAGUGUGUGCUUCUUUGAUUCGAUCCGGACCAUCAAUUCGAAUUAAUCAAUGGUCCAUGUUAAGCAAUCCAUGUUUUUUCUUUUUCAUCCAAUCAAAAGAUAGAAAUAAAUUGAAUAAUAAUUAUAAAAAAUGAAAAUAAGAGAAAACUCUCUUCUUCCAACGGUAACAAAAAAUAAUAUUAAAAAAAGAAAAGAAAAAGUAAUAAAAGACUCUCACUGAA